AAUGAUCUGGAAAUGUUGGAAAGGCCAUAGCUGCCGUUGGCACCCAGUAUGAUGUGGACAACAUUGCUCUGGGGGAAACGCCAAAAAAAUAAAGCUAAAAGAAACAGUAUACACCUACAGCAAGAGAAAAGAAAAGAAAAAAAAAGGUAAAAAAUGGAAGAAGAUCAAGCGUCUUCUCUAAAGGGAGAUGAAGCAGCAGUGAAUUUAGAAGAAGAAGAAGAGGGUUUCAAGAUCUUGGGUUCUACAUAACUACUUCCAAUUGUAAAACACAACAUAUACGGCCUUGAAGACGAAUUAAAGCAAGCAUAAUCAGAUGAACCAAAUGAACAACACUGAUUUAAGGAAAAGAAACCAGAAUUCCCAAAAUCCAU
RNAcentral lists this long non-coding RNA (371 nucleotides) under Gossypium barbadense (sea-island cotton). RNAcentral describes it as "long non-coding RNA (GBAR_LNC022006)". Lineage: Eukaryota; Viridiplantae; Streptophyta; Magnoliopsida; Malvales; Malvaceae. The record is from RNAcentral.